Long non-coding RNA from Ictalurus punctatus (channel catfish), 1797 nucleotides. Lineage: Eukaryota; Metazoa; Chordata; Actinopteri; Siluriformes; Ictaluridae. The record is from Ensembl.
UUUUUUUUUUUUUUAAAUUACACAGUUAGUGUUCUUUGGUUACAGUUAUGGACAACAUAAACAUUUCUUUCUUUUGUCUCCUUACAGGAACAUAUAGAAUGUACAUUUGUGCUUCAUGUCUUUCUGUGAAACAUCCCAUAUGUUUAAUACUGUAUUAUCAACACGCCCUCGUCGACUUACAGCACAAGAGAGCAGAUCUCUAAACACGGCCUCGGCGUUUUCCUCACCAAUUUGUACGCUCUGUGCCAAUUAGCUGAUUCCGUAAGAUUCGAUAUUCCCAUGCUGACACCAAUCUCGACAAACUUUUGGGAGGUCGGAAGGUCGGGGGUUCAAGCCACAGCACUUCCAAGCUGCCGCUGUUGGGUCCUCGAGCAAGGCCGUUAACCCUGUCUGCUCCAGGGGGCGCUGUAUCAUGGCUGACCCUGCGCUCUGACCCCAACUUCCUGACAUGCUGGGGUAUCCGAAUUUCACCGUGCUGUAAUGUAUAGGUGAUCACUAAAGACAAAUUAUCAUUAAACUUCACUCGAACUGACAGAGCAAUCCAACGACCCUCAUGCUGCAAUCCGUCGUACACGGAAAAGCCUGACCUCCGACACGGAAAAGUGCGACGGAGCGGUCAUUCGACUUUCAAUUCCCCGACGGGAACUCGGACAACGUCCACCGAGCCCCAUCUUCAUCAGAUUCCGAGACUAGCCAUACAAUUACGAUUACGCCCGGCGCAUCCUACGCCGGAUUGCAGCGUUAAGCCGUGAAGCAGACGAGAGCGUGUUCAAAUCAGCGUCAGAACCUUCACUUUCUUCUGCUUUCCAUCAUUCUGUUUCUCUCAAACAAAACAUCUACUUCCAGAUCCCAACCAGCGAAUUCAAAGCAAGGCUUAUCCCAGCAAAACUCGUAUUUUUACACACUGUAACAAAGCAAAAUGUGUGUCCUUACUAUAAACUACUAUAGCAAUUUCCCCAGGAUCUACAUCUGCAGCUGUAACGAGUCGUUUUAUACAACAGUGAUGUUCUCAACACUGAGAAUUUGAGACACAAACUGCAUAAAUAAAUACACACGACGAAUUUUCAGGCAAUUUCUUUUGUACAAUCAAUAGCGUUUUUCUUAUAGAUAUUUAGUUCUAUGUCUCAGUAUGAUAUUAUAUCACAAUAUACCGUAACAAUAAGCAUACGCAAUACUGUUGACCUUCAGAAUAUCGACUCCUGUGCUCCAUUCAGAAGGAGGUGGUUAAUGUAGCCAGCAUUUAUUUAUUUAUUUAUAUUUAAUUUAUUUAUAUGGGCAGCAUUUGCAUUUGAGGUUUAUAUUUUUCAUGGAUUUAAAAAAAAAAAAAAAAAAAAAAAAAAAAAGGGAAUGAAAAAUGCAUCAGAACGGUGCCGCCAAGGUUCAUGUCUGGUUACGUAAACCUCAGUGAAAAGGAGUUUCUCACAUUGUGAAUAAUUAAUAUGGGCAUUCAACAUUUAUACGCUGUCCUUGAUGGUGUCAUGAUGACAAGCCGUUUGUGUCGGUUAAAGCUAGACUCGAAUGUUCCGAGAUGAAGAUGUAAAGUAAACAAAAAUGAAGUAUAAAAUAAGCAUUACGAAUCGAGACUUCAAGGUUUUAAGGCUGCAUGUAAAUUUGUGCAUAUUAAUUGCACCAUCGUUGUAACGCUGCAUAUUUGAUGUAUUGCAACAUCCCAUAUUUACUCCACUGCAAACAAAAGGAAAAAAAAAUAUAUAUAUAUAUAUCUCAGCUUGUAAAUGCCUUUUUCUCCCUGUUUUUCUCUCUUAAAACAUCGACAUGACAACACUAUAAGCAGGAUAU